This 2547-nucleotide long non-coding RNA is filed under the name Xyrichtys novacula (pearly razorfish). Lineage: Eukaryota; Metazoa; Chordata; Actinopteri; Labriformes; Labridae. The record is from RNAcentral.
AAAUUCUCCACCCACUGCAGAAGGAGUAAUCGUAGCAUUUUUAACCAGGGCUGCCGUCGUUCCACGGGGGUUCAUAUUCCUUUCACCGCUUGGUUUAGGUUGUAUACGUGAAAAGUAAUACCAACAGUUUUGAUCCUUUUUCGAAAAGUGAAAAACAUGGACCUCAGGAGGAAGCCUCGGUUGUUCUUUCUGUGCUGCCUCUCUUUUUUCGUGCACAUCACCACUGCAGACCUCAGCUAUUCUAUUCCGGAGGAGAUGAGGCCCGGAUCUAUUGUUGGAAAUAUUGGCAAGGACCUCGGCCUAGACCCUGGGAAAUUACUUACUCGUAAAGCCCGUAUUGAUGCAGAGGAAAGCUAUCAACAUUACUGUGAUAUUGACGUAAAAACUGGCAAUUUUGUUACUCGAGAGCGCAUCGACAGGGAGGAGCUGUGCGGGGAGAAGGUAUCGUGUAUGUUAAAAUUUGAAUUAUUACUCGAGAGCCCGUUGGAGCUACACCGCAUUUCACUUCUCAUCCUGGAUGUAAACGACAAUUCGCCUGUUUUUCCGAAGGAUACAAUAAAGCUUGAAAUAAGCGAAUCGGCAGACAAAGGAGCUCGCUAUCGUUUGAGUGAAGCACAUGACGCUGAUGUCGGACAAAAUGCAGUCCAACAAUACAAUUUAGAAAACAAUGAACACUUUGUUUUAUCUGUUCGAGACGACACAGAUGGAUCAAAGAACGUCGAGUUGGUUUUGGACAAAGAGCUGGACCGUGAAAAAGAAAACGAUUUGAAUCUUUUGCUUGUUGCUGUUGAUGGUGGAAACCCACAGAAAUCAGGAACAGCCAGCAUACAUGUGACUGUGCUUGAUGCUAAUGAUAACUCCCCUUUGUUUGACCAGGCAGUUUACAAAGCGAGCCUACCAGAAAAUUCUUCUUUUGAUACUGUAGUGUUAAAAGUAAGUGCCACUGAUGCAGACGAGGGAGUUAACGGAGAGGUGACCUAUGAGUUCAGCCGAAUAUCAGAAAGGGCCCAAAAGGUGUUUUCAUUAAACAGUAAAACUGGAGAGAUACAAGUGAAAGGAGCACUUGAUUUUGAGAGUAAUUCAAGAUAUGAAAUGCGAAUCAAUGCCAAAGAUGGUUAUGGACUUUCGUCUGACGCCAAAGUAAUUAUUGAUAUUACUGAUGUGAAUGACAAUGCUCCGGUAAUUUACCUGAAAUCACUGACUAACCCCAUACCUGAGAACGUGUCACCUGGUACAGAGGUGGGCAUCAUUAACGUGCAGGACAGAGACUCUGAUAGUAACAGACAGGUCCGCUGCUCCAUUCAGCAAAAUGUCCCUUUUAAGUUGGUUCCUUCUAUUAAAAACUAUUAUUCUCUGGUGAGCACAGGACAACUGGACCGUGAACUAGUGUCUGAUUACAACAUUACAGUCAGUGCCACUGACGAGGGCUCUCCACCUCUGUCGUCGUCUAAAACUGUUCAGUUAUCUGUAGCAGACAUCAACGACAACCCACCUGUGUUUGAGGAGCAGUCGUACAGCGCAUAUGUGAGUGAGAAUAACAAAGCUGGCUCCACUUUAUGUUCCGUUAGUGCUCGAGACCCCGACUGGAGACAGAACGGUACAGUGAUUUAUUCUCUGUUAGGCGGUGAGGUGAACGGUGCCCCGGUGUCCUCCUAUGUGUCCGUGAACGGAGACACGGGGGUGAUCCACGCUGUGAGGUCGUUUGAUUACGAACAGUUCCGGAGCUUCAAAGUUCAGGUGAUGGCCAGAGACAACGGUUCUCCUCCUCUCAGCAGCAACGUGACCGUGAGUGUGUUCAUAUCAGAUGUGAAUGACAACUCUCCUCAGAUCCUGUACCCCGGGCCAGAGGGCAAGUCGUUCAUGACCGAGCUGGUCCCCAAAGCUGCACACGGAGGCUCUCUGGUGUCCAAAGUGAUAGCGGUGGACGCGGACUCUGGACAGAACGCCUGGCUGUCGUAUCAAAUAGUGAAAUCCACUGAUCCGGGACUUUUCACCAUUGGUGUCCACAGUGGAGAGAUCAGGACCCAGCGGGACAUUUCCGAAUCUGACAGCAUGAAACAGAACCUUGUAGUGUCAGUGAAAGAUAACGGGCAGCCCUCUCUGUCUGCCACCUGUUCCAUGUAUUUACUGAUUUCUGAUAACUUGGCUGAGGUGCCUGAACUGAAGGACAUUUCUUAUGAUGAGAAGAACUCCAAACUGACCUCUUAUCUGAUCAUCGCGCUGGUGUGUGUGUCAACGUUUUUUCUGACCUUCAUCAUCAUCAUCCUUGGUGUGAGGUUUUGUCGCAGGAGAAAGCCCAGACUGUUGUUUGACGGAGCAGUGGCCAUCCCCAGCGCGUAUCUCCCUCCUAAUUACGCAGAUGUUGACGGCACAGGAACUUUACGCAGCGCUUACAAUUAUGACGCCUACCUGACAACAGGGUCUCGAACCAGUGACUUUAAGUUUGUGUCAUCGUACAAUGACAACACACUGCCAGCUGACCAGACUCUGAGGAAAAGUCCAUCAGACUUUGCUGAAGUGUUUGGAGACUGCGAUGACUCUCCUGAG